GAGCCCGCACAAGCAGUGGAGUAUGUGGUUUAAUUCGACGCAACGCGAAGAACCUUACCAGAGCUUGACAUCCCUCUGAAAGACCGAGUAAUGUUGGUCCCUUCUUCGGAACAGAGGAGACAGGUGGUGCAUGGUUGUCGUCAGCUCGUGUCGUGAGAUGUUGGGUUAAGUCCCGCAACGAGCGCAACCCUUACGGUCAGUUGCUACGAAAGAGCACUCUGGCCGGACUGCCGUUGACAAAACGGAGGAAGGUGGGGACGACGUCAAAUCAUCAUGCCCCUUACGCCCUGGGCUACACACGUACUACAAUGGCGCAAACAAAGGGAAGCGAAACCGCGAGGUGAAGCAAAUCCCAUAAAAGGCGUCCCAGUUCGGAUUGUAGGCUGCAACCCGCCUAUAUGAAGUUGGAAUUGCUAGUAAUCGCGGAUCAGCAUGCCGCGGUGAAUACGUUCCCGGGCUUU
Molecule: ribosomal RNA, 461 nt
Filed under: uncultured bacterium
Lineage: Bacteria
Description: bacterial SSU rRNA
Rfam family: Bacterial small subunit ribosomal RNA
Source: RNAcentral